GUGAACCCCGGUGCUGCAGGUGCGGUGAUGUGGAGGAUGCAAUGGUUAUCCUGAGUUAUUGGGUUUAAAGGGUCCGUAGGCUGACUUAGAAGUCAGUGGUGAAAGCGUGUCGCUUAACGAUAGAACUGUCAGUGAUACUGUAAGUCUUGAGUAUAUUUGAGGUAGCUGGAAUAAGUAGUGUAGCGGUGAAAUGCAUAGAUAUUACUUAGAACACCAAUUGCGAAGGCAGGUUACCAAGAUAUAACUGACGCUGAGGGACGAAAGCGUGGGGAGCGAACAGGAUUAGAUACCCGUGUAGUC
RNAcentral lists this ribosomal RNA (300 nucleotides) under uncultured Vibrio sp. RNAcentral's name for it is "bacterial SSU rRNA". It matches the Rfam family "Bacterial small subunit ribosomal RNA", at positions 496 to 795 of the family's 1533-position model. The record is from RNAcentral. Lineage: Bacteria; Pseudomonadati; Pseudomonadota; Gammaproteobacteria; Vibrionales; Vibrionaceae.